This 253-nucleotide ribosomal RNA is filed under the name uncultured bacterium. RNAcentral describes it as "partial 16S ribosomal RNA". It matches the Rfam family "Bacterial small subunit ribosomal RNA", at positions 524 to 776 of the family's 1533-position model. The record is from RNAcentral.
UACGGAGGGUGCGAGCGUUAUCCGGAAUCACUGGGCGUAAAGGGCGCGUAGGCGGUUUGUUAAGUCCGAUGUUAAAGACCGAGGCUCAACCUCGAUACGGCGUUGGAUACUGGCAAGCUGGACGGUUGGAGAGGAAGGUAGAAUUACCAGUGUAGCGGUGGAAUGCGUAGAUACUGGUAGGAAUACCCAUUGCGAAGGCAGCCUUCUGGACAACACGUGACGCUGAGGCGCGAAAGUGUGGGGAGCAAACCGG